GAUGAACGCUGGCGGCGUGCCUAAUACAUGCAAGUCGAGCGAACAGACGAGGAGCUUGCUCCUCUGGCGUUAGCGGCGGACGGGUGAGUAACACGUGGAUAACCUACCUAUAAGACUGGGAUAACUUCGGGAAACCGGAGCUAAUACCGGAUAAUAUUUUGAACCGCAUGGUUCAAUAGUGAAAGACGGUCUUGCUGUCACUUAUAGAUGGAUCCGCGCUGCAUUAGCUAGUUGGUAAGGUAACGGCUUACCAAGGCAACGAUGCAUAGCCGACCUGAGAGGGUGAUCGGCCACACUGGAACUGAGACACGGUCCAGACUCCUACGGGAGGCAGCAGUAGGGAAUCUUCCGCAAUGGGCGAAAGCCUGACGGAGCAACGCCGCGUGAGUGAUGAAGGUCUUCGGAUCGUAAAACUCUGUUAUUAGGGAAGAACAAAUGUGUAAGUAACUGUGCACGUCUUGACGGUACCUAAUCAGAAAGCCACGGCUAACUACGUG
This 497-nucleotide ribosomal RNA is filed under the name uncultured bacterium. RNAcentral's name for it is "partial 16S ribosomal RNA". It matches the Rfam family "Bacterial small subunit ribosomal RNA", at positions 28 to 507 of the family's 1533-position model. The record is from RNAcentral.